This 279-nucleotide ribosomal RNA is filed under the name uncultured bacterium. RNAcentral describes it as "partial 16S ribosomal RNA". It matches the Rfam family "Bacterial small subunit ribosomal RNA", at positions 506 to 784 of the family's 1533-position model. The record is from RNAcentral.
UGCCAGCCGCCGCGGUAAAACGUAGGACGCGAACGUUAUCCGGAGUUACUGGGCGUAAAGCGCGGGCAGGCGGAGAGGCAAGUUAGGCGUGAAAGCUCCCGGCUCAACCGGGAGAGGCCGUCUAAGACUGCCUUUGUGGAGGGCAGCAGAGGAGCGUGGAAUUCCGGGUGGAGUGGUGAAAUACGUAGAGAUCCGGAGGAACACCAGUGGCGAAGGCGACGCUCUGGGCUGCACCUGACGCUGAGCCGCGAAAGCAUGGGUAGCGAACGGGAUUAGAUA